UACGGGGGGAGCAAACGUUGUUCGGAAUCACUGGGCGUAAAGGGCGCGUAGGCGGCCUCGUAAGUGGUGUGUGAAAUGUCCUGGCUCAACCAGGGAAUUGCGCUCCAAACUGCGAGGCUUGAGGGCAGUAGAGGAAGCUGGAAUUCCAGGUGUAGCGGUGAAAUGCGUAGAUAUCGGAAGGAACACCAGUGGCGAAAGCGGCUUCCUGGUCCAGCACCGACGUUCAGGCACGAAAGCGUGGGGAGCAAACAGG
RNAcentral lists this ribosomal RNA (253 nucleotides) under uncultured bacterium. RNAcentral's name for it is "partial 16S ribosomal RNA". It matches the Rfam family "Bacterial small subunit ribosomal RNA", at positions 524 to 776 of the family's 1533-position model. The record is from RNAcentral.